This is a small nuclear RNA of Trichosurus vulpecula (common brushtail), 107 nucleotides long. The record is from RefSeq and is a predicted model, not a curated record. NCBI's taxonomy places the organism in Eukaryota, Metazoa, Chordata, Mammalia, Diprotodontia, Phalangeridae.
GUGCUUGCUUCGGCAGCACUUAUACUAAAAUUGGAAUCAUGCAGAGAAGAUUACCAUGGCCCCUGCACAAAGAUGACAUGCAAAUUUGUGAAGCAUUCCAUAUUUUU